Long non-coding RNA from Gossypium raimondii (Peruvian cotton), 1841 nucleotides. RefSeq lists it as uncharacterized. The record is from RefSeq and is a predicted model, not a curated record. Lineage: Eukaryota; Viridiplantae; Streptophyta; Magnoliopsida; Malvales; Malvaceae. The transcript is spliced from 2 exons.
CUUUUUAUUUAAAAAAAAAACACAAAAAAAAGGUUUCCUUUUCUCUCAAGCAGGCCCAGAAUCCGGCCAAACCCCAGCGAGUGGCCACUGCGCCGGCCGACGUUCGCCGGCUCCGCCGUGUACGGCGGCGUUGAGUCAAAGAGCCUCUUUUUUUAAACCCGUUUCAGAUCCCUUUCGAAAGCCAAACAUCUCUGGGCCAAAAAGACGACUCCUGGCCCCUUUUCUCCUCUCGGAUCCGACGGCCAUGAAGGAGGAGAGCCCUCCGACGGUGAACCCGCAAGGCGUUUCAGGUGUGCGACGACUGCAGCAACGUGGGAAGCGACGUGCUGCGAUGGAGGCGUGCGAGCGGCGUGAUCUGCGGAGGUGGUUGUGGCUUGCGGCGGCUGGAGAGGGGAGGCUACCUAGGGUUCUUUUUUGUUUUCUAAUUUUGGGCUGAUUUGUUUAUUGGGCUAGGGUUAAUUUUUAUUGGGCCAUUUUGUUAAUAGGCCAGGCUAAAAUUGGUAUUACAAUACACAUAUAAAAAAAGAGUAUUUAUGUAUAAAAAACAUACAUAUACAUAUAUACAUAUAUAGGCAAUUAUAUAAUAAUAAUAUAAUAUGAAGCAUAUAUACGUAUAUACAUCAGCGGGUCAGGGAUUCAAUCGAAAACCGAACAAAAUUUUAAGGGCCAAAUCAGAAAACGCAGAACAAAGGGCAGAAGGGCCAAAUUGAAAACAAGCGAUAAAACGGAAGGAUCCACUGCGCAAAUAGCCUAUUUUGCGAAAACGUGCGGACCCUCCGGGUCGGAUCGGGUCGACGCGCGGAUCUUGGGGGGCCAAAAACGAUGCCGUUUCCUUUCCCUAUUUAAGCCCGGUUUUUAUUUUUUUAUUUUUUUCGUUUUUCCCUUUUCUUUUUUAAAAACAAACAGAGAAGGCUCCCUCCCCUCUCUCAAAUCCGACCAAGGUCUGGCCUAGGUGAUCGGUGCGCCUCCGCCGUAGCACAACCGUAGGCGGCAGCCGAAGGUGCAAAAUCGGAUCUUUUUGAGUCCAUUUUGAAGCUAAAUGCCCCUAGGACAUGGAUCCAUGGCGGAACUUCGAGAAAGAUGAGCCCAAGGCCCGAAAACGAGGGGGAAACCGUUCGCCUCCUCCUCCUCCGGCGCGGCGCAGGUAAGGUUUUUCUUUGUCUCCUUUUUUACUAUAUUUAUUUAUAUAGAUGUAAACGAAAAGAAGAGAGAACAAAAUAAAAAUAAACCAACUUCAAAAUUGAAAAGAAGAGAAAAAAUUUGGAAUCUGUUUUUUUUUUAUUUUCUUUCGAUUGAACCCCUUUUUUUUUUUACAAAAGUCGCCCCCUUUACAAUGGUUUUUCAAUCGGUUUUGAACCGAAAAUAAUACCCCCCGUUUACAUUUUACAAUAUUCGGCUUUAUAGCAGAGAGAAAGCUAAAUUUUUUUUUCUGUCUAGUCUUGUCUGCUUUUGCUUUUCUUCUUGCGUGUUUGCAGGUGACCGUACGGCGGUGGCAGGAGGCGUCUGACGCACAUGGUAGCAGGUGGCGCGACGCUGGAGAGGCAGGGAAACCCUAGGGUUUUCUUUUUUACUAAAAUUUGUUUAUGUUUUGGGCCGUUUGGGCCAUUGGUCUCUCUUUUUUUUAAAAAAAUUUUGGGCUAGGUUAAUAAUUUUGGGUUUGUUUGGGUUUGAUUUGGGCUCGGGCAGAAAAUGGGCCGUACAGCGAAUAUUGCAUUUAUUUUAAAAAUCCUUGAUUCGAGGUAGCAAAACAUCAGAUCCAAUAAGUUAGGAUCCAACAUUUUGAAAUUCCAAAGAGCUUUGUUUAGAAGUUAUAGGGUUUAAAAAAACGCUUAGCUAUUUGA